UAAACUUAUCGCGAAAUAUCAGCUGGCGAAUCCCCUCGGAGCAAGACUCUCGUUGGCUGACAAACUGGUUCGCCAGUUGAAAAUCGCGACCGAGACGAGAGGUUGGAAAGCCGCGUUUUGAGCGGAUCGCAAAAAAGAAUAACAAGUUUUUUCCUCGUUCCAUUGGAUGAACGUUGGCUAUAUGAUAUUUUUGGCAGAUGUUGGUCAGGAUUGGGGGAAGGAGAAGGAGGAGGAGGAGGAAAAGGAGAAGGAGAAGGAGGAAAAGGAGAAGGAGGUACUUCAAGUUUUCGCUACGGUACUCUGCAACUCAAAUGCAAAUUUUUGAACUGACUGAAUAUCACAUAGUGAUUCAGAUUCUACAGAAAUAAGAAUGGAAAUAAUUGCAUUUUUAAUAAAAAAUAUCAUAAACAA
This is a long non-coding RNA of Apis cerana (Asiatic honeybee), 411 nucleotides long. RefSeq lists it as uncharacterized. The record is from RefSeq and is a predicted model, not a curated record. NCBI's taxonomy places the organism in Eukaryota, Metazoa, Arthropoda, Insecta, Hymenoptera, Apidae.